RNAcentral lists this ribosomal RNA (509 nucleotides) under Glomus sp. Glo8. RNAcentral describes it as "SSU rRNA". It matches the Rfam family "Eukaryotic small subunit ribosomal RNA", at positions 569 to 1078 of the family's 1831-position model. Lineage: Eukaryota; Fungi; Glomeromycota; Glomeromycetes; Glomerales; Glomeraceae. The record is from RNAcentral. RNAcentral also lists the same sequence under 1 other name.
AGCAGCCGCGGUAAUUCCAGCUCCAAUAGCGUAUAUUAAAGUUGUUGCAGUUAAAAAGCUCGUAGUUGAAUUUCGGGGUUAGUAGGUUGGUCAUGCCUCUGGUAUGUACUGGUCUCACUGAUUCCUCCUUCCUGAUGAGCCGUAAUGCCAUUAAUUUGGUGUUGCGGGGAAUUUGGACUGUUACUUUGAAAAAAUUAGAGUGUUUAAAGCAAGCUAACGCUUGAAUACAUUAGCAUGGAAUAAUGAAAUAGGACGUUCGAUCCUAUUUUGUUGGUUUCUAGGAUUGACGUAAUGAUUAAUAGGGAUAGUUGGGGGCAUUAGUAUUCAAUUGUCAGAGGUGAAAUUCUUGGAUUUAUUGAAGACUAACUACUGCGAAAGCAUUUGCCAAGGAUGUUUUCAUUAAUCAAGAACGAAAGUUAGGGGAUCGAAGACGAUCAGAUACCGUCGUAGUCUUAACCAUAAACUAUGCCGACUAGGGAUCGGAUGAUGUUAAUUUUUUUAAUGACUCA